GCCGGGCGCGGUGGUGCGCGCCUGUAGUCCCAGCUACUGGGGAGGCUGAGGCAGGAGGAUCUCUUGAGCCCAGGAGUUCUGGGCUGUAGUGUGCUAUACACAUCGAGUGUCCGCACUAAGUUCGGCAUCAAUAUGUUGACCUUCCAGAGCUGGGGGCCACCAGGUUGCCUAAGGAGGGGUGAACUGGCCCAGGUAGGAAAAGAGUUGUAAAAUAUUGGUAUUAUUUCUUCCUUAAAUGUCUCGUGGAGUUUAAUAGUACAGUCCCUCAGGCCUGUGUACUCAUUGCUCA
Molecule: small RNA, 289 nt
Filed under: Marmota marmota marmota (Alpine marmot)
Lineage: Eukaryota; Metazoa; Chordata; Mammalia; Rodentia; Sciuridae
Description: Metazoan signal recognition particle RNA (ENSMMMG00000017279.1)
Rfam family: Metazoan signal recognition particle RNA
About the family: The signal recognition particle (SRP) is a universally conserved ribonucleoprotein. It is involved in the co-translational targeting of proteins to membranes.
Source: RNAcentral